CUCAAGUAUAUUUUGUCAAUUUCCUUUAUUUAGAGAUACAGAGAAAGAUCUCACAUGUUUUUACUGUUCUUGGUAUUUAUUGCAGCGCUCCUGUGUUAAAAUGUGGAAGUCAAUAUGGCUCAAGACCAUUAAGUCAGACUGAGCUAUCAACCGUCUGCAGAAACACAAUCUGGUUUGCUGGGCAGGGAUUUAUCCAAUAGAGAACUAUUGAUUCUCCUUAUAAAGAAAGGGAAGAAGAGUAAAACAGGAUUGAGACAUCCCACUAAGGACACCUCCAGUCCCAUCUCCAGUGCCACUCAGCAAUCCAGGCAAUUCUGGGGAUGCAGUGCCCCUUUCCAUGGCCCCAGUGGGAGUUCAGCAUCCCCUGAGCAGGGCUGUGACCGGCCUCAGGAACACCCUGGUGAAGUUCUGGUUGGACAUACGCUGCUGUGUUCCUGUCUGCUCAGGAAAAGUGUGACAUUGUGGUUUCCUUGAAAUGCUCACCUUAAGACCACUUGGAAAUCUGUAAAUAUACUGCU
RNAcentral lists this long non-coding RNA (518 nucleotides) under Cyanistes caeruleus (blue tit). Its description in RNAcentral is "lncRNA (ENSCCEG00000016539.1)". Lineage: Eukaryota; Metazoa; Chordata; Aves; Passeriformes; Paridae. The record is from RNAcentral.